AACAAUCUAUGUUUGAGUUAGAAGAUAAAUCGAGUUAUACCUUAAAAGUUGACAAAUUACUUGAGCUACUCCCCUCAUACUUCUUUUGAAGGCAAUUCCGCUUUAUUUGUCAGAGAUGGCACCGACACACCUGAGAGGAGGAAUGAACAUGAUGUUUCAAGUGGCAACAACUUUUGGAAUUUUCACAGCCAACAUGGUGAAUUAUGGAACACAGAAGAUUAAACCUUGGGGAUGGAGGUUGUCCCUAGGAUUGGCUGCAAUACCUGCUCUUUUGAUGACGAUAGGAGGUAUAUUUCUACCUGAGACUCCAAAUAGCUUAAUAGAACGAGGAUCAAAUGAAAGAGGAAGGAAGCUCCUAGAAAAAAUCCGAGGAACUAGCGAGGUUGACGCGGAGUUUCAAGAUAUGGUUGAAGCAAGCGAGUUGGCAAACUCAAUAAAGGACCCGUUUCGUAACAUCCUUAAAAGAAGGUAUAGGCCAGAGUUGGUGAUGGCAAUUGUCAUGCCAACUUCACAGAUCUUGACUGGCAUAAAUUCCAUUCUAUUCUAUGCUCCAGUAUUGUUUCAAAGC
RNAcentral lists this long non-coding RNA (568 nucleotides) under Trifolium pratense (red clover). RNAcentral describes it as "long non-coding RNA (TPRA_LNC010158)". Lineage: Eukaryota; Viridiplantae; Streptophyta; Magnoliopsida; Fabales; Fabaceae. The record is from RNAcentral.